Molecule: transfer RNA, 75 nt
Filed under: Asparagus officinalis (garden asparagus)
Lineage: Eukaryota; Viridiplantae; Streptophyta; Magnoliopsida; Asparagales; Asparagaceae
Description: tRNA A4U43_Val581
Source: RNAcentral
GUCAUUGUAGUAUAGUGGUGAGUAUUCCCGCUAGACACGCGGGUGACCCUGGUUCGAUCCCCUGCAACAGUGAUU